Molecule: ribosomal RNA, 250 nt
Filed under: uncultured bacterium
Lineage: Bacteria
Description: partial 16S ribosomal RNA
Rfam family: Bacterial small subunit ribosomal RNA
Source: RNAcentral
UACGGAGGGUGCAAGCGUUGUCCGGAUUUAUUGGGUUUAAAGGGUACGUAGGCGGUUUGAUAAGUCAGUGGUGAAAUUUUACAGCUUAACUGUGAAAGUGCCAUUGAUACUGUUGAACUUGAGUAUUGUAGAGGUAGGCGGAAUUUCUCAUGUAGCGGUGAAAUGCAUAGAUAUGAGAAGGAACACCGACAGCGAAGGCAGCUUACUUGGCAAUAACUGACGCUAAUGUACGAAAGCAUGGGUAGCGAAC